Molecule: transfer RNA, 71 nt
Filed under: Capra hircus (goat)
Lineage: Eukaryota; Metazoa; Chordata; Mammalia; Artiodactyla; Bovidae
Also listed under: 1 other name
Rfam family: tRNA
About the family: Transfer RNA (tRNA) molecules are approximately 80 nucleotides in length. Their secondary structure includes four short double-helical elements and three loops (D, anti-codon, and T loops). Further hydrogen bonds mediate the characteristic L-shaped molecular structure. tRNAs have two regions of fundamental functional importance: the anti-codon, which is responsible for specific mRNA codon recognition, and the 3' end, to which the tRNAs corresponding amino acid is attached (by aminoacyl-tRNA synthetases). tRNAs cope with the degeneracy of the genetic code in two manners: having more than one tRNA (with a specific anti-codon) for a particular amino acid; and 'wobble' base-pairing, i.e. permitting non-standard base-pairing at the 3rd anti-codon position.
Source: Rfam by way of RNAcentral
UCCUGGUGGCUCAGAGGUUAAAGCAUCUGCCUCUAACACAGGAGACCUGGGUUCAAACCCUGGGUCAGGAA